GUGCCUACGGGAGGCAGCAGUGAGGAAUAUUGGUCAAUGGGCGGGAGCCUGAACCAGCCAAGCCGCGUGAGGGAAGAAGGUACAGCGUAUCGUAAACCUCUUUUGUCAGGGAACAAAGGCGGGGACUAGUCCCCGGAUGAGAGUACCCGCAGAAUAAGCAUCGGCUAACUCCGUGCCAGCAGCCGCGGUAAUACGGAGGAUGCGAGCGUUAUCCGGAUUUAUUGGGUUUAAAGGGUGCGUAGGCGGAUUUUUAAGUCAGCGGUAAAAUGUCCGGGCUCAACCCGGGCCGGCCGUUGAAACUGGGG
This 305-nucleotide ribosomal RNA is filed under the name uncultured bacterium. RNAcentral describes it as "bacterial SSU rRNA". It matches the Rfam family "Bacterial small subunit ribosomal RNA", at positions 335 to 638 of the family's 1533-position model. The record is from RNAcentral.